This 490-nucleotide ribosomal RNA is filed under the name uncultured bacterium. RNAcentral describes it as "partial 16S ribosomal RNA". It matches the Rfam family "Bacterial small subunit ribosomal RNA", at positions 29 to 507 of the family's 1533-position model. The record is from RNAcentral.
AUUGAACGCUGGCGGCAUGCCUUACACAUGCAAGUCGAACGGCAUCGCGGGAAAGCUUGCUUUCCUGGCGGCGAGUGGCGAACGGGUGAGUAACACAUCGGAACGUACCGGCUAGUGGGGGAUAACCCGUCGAAAGACGGGCUAAUACCGCAUACGCUCUUCGGAGGAAAGCAGGGGACCUUUGGGCCUUGCGCUAGCCGAGCGGCCGAUGUCCGAUUAGCUAGUUGGUGGGGUAAAGGCCUACCAAGGCAACGAUCGGUAGCGGGUCUGAGAGGACGAUCCGCCACACUGGGACUGAGACACGGCCCAGACUCCUACGGGAGGCAGCAGUGGGGAAUCUUGGACAAUGGGGGCAACCUUGAUCCAGCAAUGCCGCGUGGGUGAAGAAGGCCUUCGGGUUGUAAAGCCCUUUCGGCAGGGAAGAAAUCGGCGGGGCGAAUAACCCUGCUGGAUGACGGUACCUGCAGAAGAAGCCCCGGCUAACUACGUG